GGGGGCGUAACGGCUUCGACGGGGAUAUCGAAACUUUGGCUGCAUACCGAGCUCCUGCCUGCUCGUUAAACGACGGGAAUAAAUAUAAUCGCAGACGAUUAUAACUACGCUGUAGCCGCUUAGGCUACCGUCCUGUCGGAUUACUCCUGCGGAUCCGAUAAGGGCGUCAACAGCGGGAUAGUUGGCUUCUGUACGCCUGAUUCAAAGCCAGCGAAACUCAUAUCGGGAUAACUGCUUAAGGAUCCAGCCUGAAGGAGCCGUAAGUGGUGACAAUCAAAUUUCAGGAUAUGUAUGUAGACGUCAAAGCGGAAAGUUUUCGGACGCGGGUUCAACUCCCGCCGCCUCCACCA
This 350-nucleotide transfer-messenger RNA is filed under the name Deltaproteobacteria bacterium. It matches the Rfam family "transfer-messenger RNA". Rfam says of the family: Bacterial tmRNA, also known as 10Sa RNA or SsrA, is named for its dual tRNA and mRNA-like properties. Its role is to liberate the mRNA from a stalled ribosome. RNAcentral also lists the same sequence under 1 other name. The record is from RNAcentral. Lineage: Bacteria; Pseudomonadati; Myxococcota; Myxococcia.